Molecule: long non-coding RNA, 19980 nt
Filed under: Xyrichtys novacula (pearly razorfish)
Lineage: Eukaryota; Metazoa; Chordata; Actinopteri; Labriformes; Labridae
Source: RNAcentral
GGCUUAGAUGCUUUUUUCAGAUGUGGCCAGUGCUUCACCCGCUAAUGGAGGAGGCUCUGCUAGACUGAAUGCUCUCUCAGUAAUCCUCGUCUUAUUUGCAUUUCAAUUCUUGUGCUUUCCUCAGCCGGGAAGCUAAUCCAGCGGGUUGUGAAUGUGGGCUAAACUUGAAUCAACAUUUCUUAAGUUAUCUCAUACAGAUAUUACUGUCUGCCUGCUCUAAUUCCUUAAUUUACUGUAUUGUAUGGAGCAGACAAAUCCUCAUGUCUCUUUUUCUUUAAAUGUCGAUGCAACAGUUCUAACAGCACUCGGCACAGGAUGCAACACUUCAUCGACUUGUUACUGUGAUGAUCAAGAGGCCAGGAAACAGGUACGGAUUAACUAGAUGGAUGCAAAUUUCCCUGGAGAGUGAUGCCGAAUGACCCUGAUUGCAAUUUCUGCAUGAUGAUGGUGCUGCUAGUGCGCUCAGUGCAUCUGUAUCACUCCUACCCAGUGCACCUUUCUCUCUGACCCCUUCAGUGGCAUUCAAUAAUGCGUCUGGAUCCUCACUGUUAAGAUUCCAAACACACACUCGCUGCUAAACCAACUGCUGCAGGGGCAUGGCUGAUAGGGGUGUUUGCAUUCAAGGCUUGUCUGAGCUGCUAUUGAUAGACUUUUAUUAACUUAACCAGGUUCAAGAUUUCCCUGGUUCCUCAGUUAUUAGGGGAUAAACCUUCUCACCUCGAGAGCACAGAGGAUUUGGCUGGAUUUGGAUAAUUGGUGCGGUAUCUCUGCUGCCUUUAAAACAAAAAAGAAAGAGGAGAACUUUAACACUCUAACUCCUACUGUAUUUUUCCAUACACAGAAAGAGAGAGAGACAUACUGUAUAUGAACAUCUAACAGAGACGUUUAAAAUCCAUUAAUGGAUCAGACAUGACAAGACAGUGUGACUCUGUGUACAAGCGUUGCUUUUCUUAGUCAUACCAUCCAUGAAACAUUAGCAAUUGGCCCAUAAAAAAAUCCAUCAUAACCUCAAGGCACAUUACAGAGAAGGUUAAGCACAAACAACAGAAAUAUUAAUAAUAUGCAGCUCGAUUUCUCAGUUUAAAAGUUCAGCAGAGAUAAACAUUUGCAAAGGAAAAAAACCCCAGUAAUUAAAGCAUAUACUUUGGUAAUUAAAAUAUCCCCUCGAUCACACUGCAGGGAUUAUUUUUUCAGCCAGCUUGAAUAAGAUAAAAAGCUGUUGAAAAGAAAAAGUUGUGGAUUUUUUACAAGCUAAUUAACAUUUUGUGUCCCCCAAGUUCAAGAUGACACUUUUGCAAGCUGUAUUGUGUUGCAUAAUCACACUGCUGUCCCUCUACACUCAUCAUUUUGUGACACAGAUCAGUACAGCUCAAAGCAGGAUUGAUGUGAGCUUGCUAACCAGAGUGGAAGUGUAAAGCAGAGACACUGUGAUACUCUUCCAGUGUAGUGUUUGCCAUGCUAUUAUUAAAGCCUGUAAUCAUGGGGAUGUUGGUUGGUAUAUCCAGUGGCAUUUCAAGGUCAGUUUGGGUUUAUUACUUGACAGUACUGUGACCUAUAUGAGAUUUAUAACAUGUAGGUUUUUCAUUUAAUCAAAUCUCAUAUUUAUAUGUAAAUGACAUUCAUUUUUGGAUGUCAUUUUAUCACCAGAAGCCAUUCUGUCAUUUCCUGCUGUAAUUGCCUCAGUUUUCUAUGCUCUUUGGGUUUCAGAUUUGUUACCCCAUGCACAAGGGAAUGACAGGAAAUGAUGGACAUGAAUUUUGGACGUGAUGAGGAAGACAAAAGCUGGUGUCAGGAAACCGUCUGCUUUCUUAAAAUAAUGAAGCGCAGCCUGCAACUUUUAUGAGGGCUCCUUUUGAUACACAACUUUAGAUGCAUUCCUGACAGAGUAACCACUCAACAUGUGUUUGCUGCUCUGUUGAUGGAUGUUUCAUUUCUAAAUGUACUGCUGGAGAAUGAAACAGGAUUUCUAUUACAACAUUUCAGCACAGCUGCCAUUAGGUCAACUAGGACAGAAAUCAUAAUGUCGUGUUCACACCAAACACUCAGGAAAUCAUUAACUCACUUAAUCUGCGGUGUUCGUGCCACCUCAAUCAUUGGUGUCGCCCGACAAGAGCUUGUUACAUUUAAUCCACUCAUGUCAAUGAUUUUGUUCACAUUUUGGUGUGAACACAACAUAAUAUAGAGAGCAUAAUAAUUUAAUCUGUUUGAACACCUGAAUGUUGUGUUUACUCGCUUAAUUCAUGCUAAUGACUCGCUCCAUGCAGGAGUUAUUCCAAAAGAUGAGGGGUCGUCCGUGUCAUCAGUUCCGUUUACGUCAAACAUAGUUGAAGUUGACCACAAUGUGACAAUCUGUCGUGUUUAAACAGCUCAUCAGAUAAUUCACUCGCUGUACUCCAAGACAGCUCUUGUGUAGUCCUGUCACAAUAUUAAUACAAGUUGUUUCCUGUAGCUUGAGCAGCUACGUACCGUCAUGAUCAGUUUACCCUCCAUUUUCUGGAUGAAUAAACCCGCCAGUCCUUUGUUAAAUGGCGUACAACAUUAGGGAAUAUCCUGAUUGUCUGUUGCGGAACAAAUGAUUCACUCGAGUUCAGAUUUUUUUAGUCUCACGAAAAGGCAAAUGAAGCAAGUAGUACUCUGAAAAUGUUGUGAUUUCGCACCAUGUCUAAUCUGCUCAAUUUGCGCUAUUUGUGCCGCCUCAUUCAGACGUUGAAGCAUUUAAUGGUUUGAGAUUCUAUUAUUUGCAUUUGGUGUGACGUUGAAGCUCUUCUCAGGAGUUAAUGGUUUGCGUUGACUUUGGCACCCCCUGUGGACAAAGUGAUUCAGGUAAAGAGUAUUUCCUAAUAAAAAAUGAGACUCAAAUGCUCAUCGUGAACCUUUGCUUGGGAAAAUGUUACAGUCUAUUUCCUCGGGUCAGGUUUUAAUGAUCAAAAACUUAAUAGAUACAAAUCCAUUCGUGCUCAACAACAACUGAUCUCACUUUUAUACCUGCACAUAUUGUGUAUCUACCCAGGAUUUAACAAAAUAUGUUUGGUUCCUGUUGGUAUGUGUAUUUCUGUUAUUGUAGAAAACACAGUACUGCAGCAUAUCAACCUCCUGACCAAGGACCUGCUGGUUCUUUAACAUGAAAGACUUUUUUCUUUCACAUCUUCAGAAAUGAAAUGAUUCUGAUAUUCCAUUCGAUAUAAACUAAUUCAGACAUACUUCUGCAUGACAUAUUCAAUUUCUUUGGAAAAAUGCAGCUAAAUUCUGCACUAUGCAGCUUGAAAAGGAACCAGGAGGAUGUUUUGUCGGAAAAACUAUCUUUGGAUGCAGGUGACAGGAUCAGAAAAGUGAUAAGAUGCACAUCUCUAUCCACAGGGGGUGCUAAAUUUGACACAAAUUGAAAGUCGCUCAUGCAAGUUUUACAAGCUGUAAAAUGGUAAUAUCGGAAUUUGGCAGCUGCUUUAAGCUUUAUUUUAGGGCCCUAGUGAUUUUCCACAGCUUAAGGCAUUGCAAAAGCAUUUGACAGCCGAGGUGUGAGCAUCAUGCACAACUACGCUGAGGCACACACUCACAAACACAUCGUGUGGUUCCAUCCUGCCAUCUCUGACACUUACAGUGACUCUGUUCAGUUUCUUUUACACCUCUAUUACUACCUCUGAUGCCCACCUAGCGGCAGAAUGAUUUCACCCCACUAUUCUACCAUUUGCAAGUCAGCUUGGCAUAACAGAGGUGUGACAGCUCCGUCUUGAGCAGACAACGUAAAGGGAGCAAUAGACUGUGUCAGCCACUUGGCGCUGGGCAGGGAGCGCACAGCUGCCUGCUGGUGCUGAUAACAAGGUUACAGAGUGAUAACAGCUGAGGCUUAACCAAAACAAAUGCUUCAAAGACAUUGAAAGCUUCACAGAGUCAGGGAGGAGUGGCAGAUGAUAACUAUUUGUUGACUUGUAGAUAUUCAGCCUGCAUUACAGUAACAAUGUUUUGAUGUGACAUUGUGGAGGAAAUGAACAGGAUGUAAUGAGUUUCUUUAAAAAGCUCCAGAGGGAUAUGGGGAUGAUUUUAUUCCUCACAUGGAUAUUAAAUGAGUUGUUAAAUUAUCCGUCUAUUAUUAGGACUAUGAACAGCUGCGUCACUUCUGUGAAACUUCUCUCUGACUCACAUGAGUGUUUAGGUCGCUUACUUGGCAGGAUGAGUGGAGAUGAGAAACCACUGCAUCUCAUAGACCAGGGUUUUCCUUGUAUUCAUGGAUCAGUGGCUUAUUUGGCCGCAUUCAGCACAAGCUCAGUGCACUAAAAGCAUAAAUCAAAGGAGCCCUCUGAGUGACUUUUUAUGUCUUUAUCUAUGAUGGACCUUGAAGUAUAUUCAGAACUAAAUAAAGAUGUAUCCUGGCCAGAUCUGAUCAUAAAUGUGUAAGUGCCGACUCUUCCAUAGAUUAUGGUGCUGCAGCAUCAUUUAGAUCUCCCGGCCAUGUUUUAAUGAGUUUUAUUAGCUCUACAGUUUAGGACAGAAAUCUUUCAGCCGCUUAGGGAACUUCUUACUUUGUUAUCUAACCCGUCUCCAUCCAUGAAUUCCUGAAAUGCUGCAACUUCUUUGUCCUCAAACUAAAAUGAGAUUCCCACAGGAGGAAAUGAAACACUGUGCAGCUCUCCUCUUCAUGCUUAUGUUUAUCCUGCUCUUCUUUCCUCUCUUUCCGUCUCCCACACUGAGAGCCCAUCAAGAAAACAGACAUGUAGCCUCCAGGUUGGUAUCAAUAUAUGACUAUAUUUAAUGUUGGCAGUUAGAAAUGCCUCACAAUGGGCAGAUUUAGGACAUGCGGUCCUUCUCGUUGACAAACAUAUUGUGUUUUUUUAAUGGGGGAGUGUUAAUUCUGAAUGCAAUCAUAAAUAGAAGUGGAAUUGUUUCAGAGUGGUGAUGCAGCAGUUGCAACAUUAGGAGUGGGAACUUAAAUCCAGAUGAUAAAGUAAAAGCCUAUAUGAUGUAAAAACAAAUAUUUCAUAUUUAAUAUAAUCCACUUCAGAUUGUCAGUCUUAGCUUUAGGCUCAUGCAAGAUAAAAUUCCAAUUUGUAAGAAUGCCGGAGCAGAUCUGUGCUCAGGAUGUGACUUAUUCAUUUAAAAAGUCAGUUAAAUUUUAAUGGUGAUGCACAGCUAACCCCUGAGCAUGACUUGAACCCGUACACAUCGAUGGAACCUAUCUCCUACUUAAUGGGAAUCUAUAUUUUAGUCUGUAAUUAGACCCUCGAAAGCCUCGCGUGUGUUAGUGAUUACGCAAUGAUUAAUUCCAUUAUCUCCAACACACACGCGCCACUUAUUGAGAUGUGUAGGAGGGUAAAUCGAGGGAGAGACGCACCAAGAUAGUCCACAAGUGAAGGAAAAAUGACACUCUAUCAAGUGCUGUGUGUAAAUGAAUUCUGUCCUUACAACAUUAUGUCAUCAGGAGGCAUGCUGUGAAAGACACUGGAAGAAGGAGCAGGCGAAAUUUAAAAUCUUUCCAAUGUUCUGACUUCCUUUUAUAAAUAAUGGAUGGAUCUUACAGUACAUUCACAUUGCUCUGACAUUGCAAAACAUUGUGCUCUGCUGCACAUUAUUGUCGAACAUUUCCAUUUCAUGACCGUGGUGAGAGGGAGGAGAGAGGGAAAUGGAAAUACUGGCUGUGUUGUAGCAUCUCUGUAGUUCACUUCCAGAGUCGAUUCAAACAGGAGUACCAUGCUGUCCUGAGUCAUACUCACCUCAUGACAAAUAAUGACUAAUAGCCAUUCUGAUAGGAGUGGUGUUCAAGGGGGACAUUUUUCUGUGCUGCAGAAGGUGGCAAAGUGCUGCUAUCACGCUGAAAGGAGCAUUUAAGAUGGGUGCUUCGAUUUCAAAAGGGCAAAGAGGACAGUAAAUAAGAGCGUCUACCCGAAAGGAGAGAACAAAUGUCAGGGCAUGAUAACAAAAACACAGUUAGGAAGCUUCACAUUUAAAACAGACACUAGAAAAGAGGAGCUAUUUUAAACUUCUUGGAAAUGUCAAACCUUUUGGAGGUUGCGGCUCCGACUGGCUUGUGUUAUACGUGCAUUUUCUGUUACAUUUCCAGGAAUGACAUUAACAAAAAUCAAUGAUGCUCUAUGGGACUAAAAGGCACAUUACUGUCUUUUAUUCCUGUUCGGCUUAUGCACCAUUUUAAGCCAAAACAUGUUUCCACAGCUGUCAAAACCACAUAUUUAAUGUAUCUGACUGUAUGGAAACGGCAUAUAGGGGUGACCUCAUUUUCAAGGACUGAUGCAUUAUGGGACCCUGCGAUCAGGAGUGGUUCUUAAUAAUUUCUGCCUCUGUGGCUUAAUGCUUAUCAACAUAUCCUGCCGCUGAUUAGGCCUCAUUCCUGCUUUAAUCCGGACAACUUAAUUAUACAGGAGAUGUCAGACUAACCGGAGACACUCUUAUUCUGAGUGUGGCAAAUCCAGGAGUGAAUAUUUCAUGUAGCCAGCUUCCUGUGCCAUAGACAUUCAGUCUCCUGGGGGGGCCAGAAGGACGUACAAGCAGAAUAUGAGUCAUACAUACAUGCAUGAAACCCUGUGUUUACAUAUGGCCUGACCCAAAUCAUGAUAAACAAGGUUGUUUUUUCAAUAAAAUGCAAACAAAUUAAAGCAUUUAUUUACAAAUUUCUUUAGUAUAUUUAGAUGCUGUAUUGUGUUUGUAGUAUCUGUAUAUAACAAAGAGUCCAUAAACAGAACCUGCUGUGGUCGUCUGCAAUCAUCACAGCAGGUGUUGUUGCUCCACCACCAGAACCCGCCUGAUUAAUGUACUUAAUACCAUCCUGUCCCGAUAAUAAAAAUUGUAGCUAGAGACCACAGAAGAAGAGGUCUAAGUUGCCAUAGCAACCAACCUUUUUCCCUGCUUGACUGUUUUCCUGUGAGUGGAUGUUGCUUUGAUCUGCUAGCCACUGGCUAGGUGAGGAGUUUAACUGUGUUGUAACUAACGUGGGGGACUCUCCCUGUGGGGGAAAAAGAAACCCAUCAAGAUUGCAAUCAACACUCGGAUUAUAGCAGAGGAAACGUGGCGUAAUCUGGUGGUAUGAGUUUUAUAAUCUUGCAGGAAUCGAUCGUAAGCUUUUAAAGGUUCGGUGUAUUUCACUGCAUGACUUUUUAAAGGACACGGAUUUACAAGGACAGCUUUGGUCUGCUUUCUAAAGUGUGUUUAUGUUGUUUCUACUUUUGGCAGGAUUGCUUGCCCAGACUAAGGUUAAGGUGUUGGAUUCUCAGUUUCUGAAUUAAAAAAUACUAUAAAUAUGCAUGUAAACCUCCCAUAAAGCCAGGUAUUUUUAAAUAUGCAGCGUAUGCAAUGAAUUAUUGAAAAACAUUGUGAAAUCUAAAAUAGUGGCUGUGAAUAAUUCAUCUGACAUUCUUUUGAGUUGCAUAUUGCAAACCACAGUGGAGACUGAUGCAUUAUCAGACAUUGUUUGGGAAUUUGUAAUAAUUUGGGCAUCAUUGUAAAUCAUUGAAUUUGUUUGCUGAGCAGAGUAGCUGUCAACUCCAAACUGCUGUGAGGACUCUCAGGGAGCUCAACUGCAGCAGGUGGCUCUGCUUGGUGGUGCUACAAAGUAGAUGCAAAUAUCCUUCCUCAUGCUUUCCACAAGGGUGAUCACCAGGUUUACACCUCAGUGUGUCCACACAAGAAUGCUGCAUUUUGAAGAGGUCUCUGUGCCCGCGGUGAUAAGCUCAGUGACAGUAAACAAAACACAUCUGUGACCAGAUUACCUCUGACUCAUUACAGGGAAUAUUUUCUUUUUUUCCUCUACAGAGACUAGUACAUCAAUAGUGUUUCAACUAGCACACGUGUGAAGGACUUUUUCUCCGUCUUCUUUAUUCUGUAUAUUAGGUUAAGUGCUCUGUACGGAGAUUGUCAUGCCUGCAGUCACCUAAAUUAUAAUAGCUGAUGCUGCAGUCGCACAUACAGCUGUGUUCAGGGUUCAUCAGGGAUUGGCAGUGUUCUCUUUAGAUGUGAACUGAAGCAUUUUAGUGCUAACCUCAGCUAUAUGACACUUUUGUGUUUAGUAAAAGCGCGACCCGUUUUCUGCUUAUUCUUCUGUUUGAACCUUGAUUUAUGCCAGCAUGUCAUGCAUUAAUGUUUUUUUAAACAUACAUAGACGAAUGGAGUUAGUUUCACAGUAUUUGCACUCUUGUGCACUUUCUAGGCAUUGGCACUAUUUUUUUCAGGAUUUUAUAUGACAAGGGUGAUCCAACUGGAGCAAUAACUCAUGUGGAGAUGGCAUGUAGAAAACUACUUCAGCCAAAUACAAUAAAAUCACAUAGAAAGUCAUAAAAGUGUGUCCCCGAAGUCAUAAUUUUAAGUACUUGAAGAGUUACAAGUGUAGAAAUGCAAUAACAAUUUUAGAUGGACUGAUUUCUCCCCUUUGCAGCUGUCUUUUUAAAUAAAUCUGAUAUAUAGUGUGAGGUAUUUUUCUUUGACUUAAAACAUCCAAAAAGUGAUAUGUUUACAGUACGUGCAAACAAAGCACUGAGCAGCCAGUUUAAACAUUGUCAAAAUAGCUGAUUUUAGCAUACUGUACUUCAUAUAUUUGUUAAGUUAUUUCAAUAGGAUGAUGCACAUUAAACAAUAUUUAAGCAGUAAUAGUCUGUCAGUCACUUUGUGCAGCAUCUCUGCGCUACAACUCUGUAACAGAAUUACCUAGCUCUGAAUUGCACACUAUAUAUGUUUUUUGCAUCACAUUUCAUAUACAGUUUACAUCAAUGCAAUGAUGCAGAUUGCACUCACCAGCUACAUGUGUGUGUAUAUAUACAGUAUAUACGUAUGUACAUAUAUUCUCUUGUAUUGUUUUGCCAUAUGUGCUGUAGAGGAACGUUCCUUGUGAUUUCCGUGUGUUUGGCCCAUAUGGCAGAAAUUGACUAUAAAAAGCUUGACUUGACCUGACUAUGUAAAUAUGCAGCAAUUGGCACAAUAGCUACAAUUCAUCCAUCAACUGUAAUUUAGGACACUAGGUUGGCACCUGGGAUAUGUAGCAGUGAAAGUUACAGUUAGAAAGCCCUGCACACCAGUUAGACUGUUUGUCUUACACCUGGGUGUAGGACAAACAGGCUCAGCAGACUAGCCUGCCCGUAGAUAAACAGUAAAAGUGACAGAAUUACAAAAGCCAAUGGCAGGACAAUAAAGUUCUUAUCCUCAUUAUCUAGUCAGAGAAAGUGCAUUGAGUUGAUAGAGAGUGAUGUGUUAUUGGACACCACUCAGAGAGCUUUAUUUUAAAGUCUUGCUAACCCUGUUUUGAAUUAAUAAGAGUCUGAACUACAGUGUGUGUGGGAUAGAGAUGGAGGGCUGUCCCGGCCCUGCAGGUGCUGAUCAUUUCAGGUUCAGUGUAAAUGAGGCUGUCAGCUCUGAGCUGUCAAUGCCAUUUAGUGUGAAAGUGGGGACAUUCUUCCCUAAAGUGAGUAUGCUGCUCUUAUGACGGUUUUGGUCACAGACCUCCCUUAUUCCCCCAGUGAAAGCCUCUGUUUGUUAUACAGUAUAUUUGCACACAGUUUUAUAAGUUUUGGUAUUUUGCUGUCAGACUUUCUUCUUUUGGGUUUUGUUAUCCCACCCUCUGCCGACAUUUUAUUGGAGAACAGCAUGGACAGAAUUGAGUGUCAACACUCACGACCCUGUGAAUGUCUAUGUGAAUGUGUACGAUAAGCUAGAAUCAGUCCCAGUCAGGUUUAGUGGACUCAGUAUGACUCAAAAAGUUGGUCAUAGAUAAGUCUAAUAAAAAAUACAACUGACUUAAGUGAGGUGUACACAACUAGAAAAUCAUGCUGACUUUGGGUCGAUCUCCCCUUUCGAUGUCAGCAAAGGCCUGAUCAUUAGUGGGUUCUAAAGAUUACCUUCUCAGAUUGUCCUGAGGUGUGUGAAGAGUGAUUUUCCUUCCUUUUGAUGAAAUGGUCUGUGCAAAAGGUGAUCGGAGAUCCUCUGACUUGGAACUGUAAAUAUUAAUUUUGUUCAAUAUUUACGACCCAUAAUCUUAAUGUGUUGGGGGAUCCCCAAGGACGAUCAAUCAUGCAUGCCAUCCAUUAUCAUGUGAACAACUGGAUAGCCAAUCGGGGAGCAAGCUGACCAAAGAAGGAAAUGGCAGCAUGGCAAUGACAGUAAACGUAAAGCAUAAACUGAGACAUGAGUGUUUACACAGCACUGUGGUAAAACACUGCAACUGAAAUUAACAAAUUGAAGAGACACCUCAGUGGGUUUAGAAACAAAACAAUGAAAUCUGUCAUCAUUUGUUGUCAUGUGUGGGGUCCCUGAUGGUUUUAACAUCAGUUCAGAGUCUGAAAAUCUUUCUGUGUGUGCCAGACUUUACAUCCAGCUGGUGCACUCGACCCCUAAGAUGGCCAAUCGAAUGUCAAGAGUGGCCUUUGGCACUCCUUGCCACCCCAUGAAGCCACCCCUGACUCUGUGACCCUGUAAGCAGGAACACUGUUAAGCGUAACGCUCGCACGGCAACAAACUAGCUUGUUGAUAUUCAGUAUGCAGGCUACAAUGUUUUUCCAUCUUAGCUGAACCGUUUGACAUACUAACAUUUGCUGUUCCACAAAAUGAUUACACUCUUGUAGGGGAUAUGAAUGUCUUCACCAUUUUUUUGCAGUCCAUCCAAACAGAUUUUGACACUUGUCACUCAGAACCACAAAAUGUCAACUUCAUGUGGGCACUUUAGGAGAAGACAGGUCAACAAAAUCAUUCACUCUCACACUUUAGGAACCACAAAGUUGCUCCCGGUGGCACACAAGGGAAAAUCAGGGGGUUAGAAAAGUCAUAAAGGACUUGGUAACACAUUUGAUCACAAACAAGAAGUUAUUAAAACAAACUGGUUAUAGGUAGACAAAUAACAGCAUCCUUAGAACCAGAAAUUGAGCUCAAACACAAUUGUGCUCUGCCAAAGCCUAAAAUACUACUGGGAUACUGGGAUACUGGGAUAAACUGACUGUGUGCUAACACUAAUACAUCCAUUAAGUAGAAAAAUAUUAAAAAUCCAAACACUUUUACAGUCAUCAGUCUCAUUUUAAAAGGAUGUGAUAUUUAAUAUUUAAUGUCUACUGGUCUGAGACAUCAAAACUAAGUGAUUCAGACAUUAACUUUUAGUUUUUCCCAGCUGUCUCAUAUUUAAUGUCAAAUAUACAGUCUGUGUAAAUAGAUUUUACAACCUCAUACACUUAAAAAACUCUUGGGUUAUUUCUUCAACUCAAUUCCUGGGUUAUAUGUGUUGAGUUAAAUUUCUGGGUUAUUUUUCAGAUCCAUAUCCAUUUCUUGGGUCAUAGGGAUUCUAUUGUAACCCAAUUUAAGGGUUUUAUAAAAGGGCUAAUAAUUAUGGGUUAUUUUUCUGAGAGUAACCCAAUAAUUGGGUCAGAACAUUGGGUUCGAUUGACUCUACGUGGUUUCUCGGCCUAAUAGCAAUUAAAGUGACCUGGUGACCUUGUGAACUUUGACCUUUAUUUUAUAUACAAUAUGAUAUAUAUAUGUUAAAACAAUAUGAUAUAUAUAUGUUUAUACAUAUGUUUAUAUAUAUAUACACACACACACACACACACACACACACACACACACACACACACACACACACACACACACAUAUAUAUAUAUAUAUAUAUAUCAGUGGCGGCUGCUGGUCUUUCAAUGAGGGGAAGCUCAUUUUUCUGGCCUACAUCAUAAUUGUAUUUGUUUAUUAGUAUGUAACAGAACAGAGUCGCCAAACACAACGGCAGUCGUUUUUAAUAAAGACAGAAGUCGCUGAGGAUUGGUAAAGUCUCCGGAGCAGUUAAGAACAACGGAAUGAAUGACUUGGAAAAUGCUCUGGUAGAUGUUUUAUUCUUCAAGAUCGCUGAUUCGCUUGUUUAGCUGUCAAUCAAAAAAGGAUUUCGCCUCAGACAGCUCAUCCAAUCAUUGAUGCAGAAGCUUGCAGUCCGGGAGAAAGUCGGGACCGCCCUCUCGCCAUAGAACUCCAGUGAAGCUUAGCUUCCAUUGGGCGGGACAAAGCCCAGCAUUUAUCCAAUGAGCGUCUAGUUUCGCUGCUGGAACAACCCACUUUUAGCUUCCACAUUGAAGUCAGCAGAAGCCCAGCGUCCGGCUGUUUAAAGCGCUGAGGCGCUGCGAGGAUGAAUGAGAACGAAGUUAUGCCGGUUACCUAUAAUUAUCAGCUUCUUAUCACAGUGUCUGAACAAAAGAUGAAGGCUUUCUAGUGCGUAUUUAGUUAAUGAAAUGUACACACAGCAGUACGUAUUUCACCACUUUUUCUUUUUUUUGGGGGGUGACAUUUUAAGGGAAGCCGAGCUUCCCUUGCAGUCUUAGAGCAAUCGCCACUGAUAUAUAUAUAUAUAUAUAUAUAUAUAUAUAUAUAUAUAUAUAUAUAUAUACACAUAUGUGUAUAUAUAUUAUAUAUAUAUAUAUAUAUAUAUAUAUAUAUAUAUAUAUUUAUACAUACAUACAUACAUACAUACAUACCAGUGUGGGUCCUCAGGCAAGACCCUUAGCGCUAUGGCCUGAGGGAUAUAUGGUUGCAGUCAGUACACCGAAACAGCUAGGGUACAACCUGUACCCUAUUUUCCCAUGCACUUUAAUCUAACUGAUUCCCUCUUAUCAGUUAGAUAAAAGUAAAUGAGAAAAUAGGGUACAGGUUGUAAAAGAAAAGCUCCCCAAAUGCAUAUAUCAAUUUAUCCCAAGAUCAUGAGUCAAUUUGACUCGAAGAUUGGAUUAACUUGACCCUUAAAAAGAGUUAUUGAGUCAACCCAAAAUUUAGUUUAAUUUGAAUAACCCAACAUUCUGGGUCAAAAUAACCCAAUAAGUUGUCGGUCCCUUUUCAACCCUGGUGUUGGGUUAAAAACAACCCAAGUUGGGUUGUUUUUAACCCAGGGGUCUUAAGAGUGUAGCAGUUGUAAGAACUACAUAAAGUUAAAGCUAAAAUGGAGAGACAUUCAAAACAGGCCUUUGUUGCUCUUUUGUGAACAUUUUCUUAUCUUGUUACUUCAUCUUUUUGGUUAUUCUAAAGGCAUACAUUUUUGUUUGUACAAAAAUCAACAAUCCUUGUCAAAACUGCCGAAGUCUUUUAGUGGUUGGCUGGAUAAAUCUGACACUUCUUUUGGGAAAUCUGGGAAAUGUUGGCAGUCAACCAACAAUAGCCUGUCAAUUAUCCAGUCAAGAGUGAACAAGUGAAGUGGUGUCUUACAUAAAUCGCUGUGAGCUUCAUCAGCAUUAUGAGAGCUGACACACACUGGCGGCUCUUCUUAGUCUUUUGCCUUGUUAGGAGUUGUGUAGCAGCACGAUACUUAACACAAGGGGGGAACUUAAAAGAACUGUUUUGAUGCAGUUGCCACCAGCGUGCAGUACACAGCCUUCAGCAAAUAAUGCUUCCCACUGUACUUAAUGAGGAAAUACAUGAAUGGUCAAAUGUAGUUAAUGCUGAGGCAUUGAGAUACCACUCUUUGAAGUGCAGCUUUUUGAAUAUUAAUGAUAUUCAUGACCUAUUUGCUACUUCACUUUAUGUAAAUUCCUGAUGGCCUUGCUGCCCUUAUGCUUUCAUGGAGGAUGUGAUGAUGCUGUUGGCACAAAAACAAUUUAAUUAAUGUGGGAGUGUAUGCGUAAACUUCUUAAGAAGAACCAAAGAUUUUGGCUUUAAUGCUGUAUCUGCGGUUUUCUUCUGGAUGUUUGAACAAUUUUGUAAAUUAGAAUCAAAGUCAGGAUCUCAUUAUAUUUAAACAAAUGAAACCGCGGGUGAAGACAUUUGUUUGACAGCUUGUAUAUGGCAGCCCUCCCCUGGGUUCAAAAGAUGCUUACCCAACACCCCCACCUUGCCAUCUGUCUGGAUCUGUAAAUCCCACAUGGAUACUCAAAACAGACAGAAACACAGAAAAGUGCUUUCAGGAACCACAGCACCCGCUCAGCCUGUCAUGACAGCUAAGUAUGACAUAAGAGUUUCACUAUGUCUUGAACUAUAGACCGUAAAAAGUUAUACUCAAGUUGAAGUGUGAUAGUGUCUGUGUUUCCACAAGCCUAACCAAAGGGAAAGUUUUUCUUUUUGGGUUUAGCUACAGAAAUAGCUGAUUCUGAGUAUUCUGACGCGUGCUGAAAGAGGAAGUUAACUUGAGAAAUACUUAACUCCAGGUUGAGCUGUAGUGCUCUUGCAAAAAGUGCCUCCUUGAAUAUUUGCUGGUAAUGCAACUUUGUCAAGUUAGUUACUUAGCAACUGCCACUUGGCUUAAGUCCCUUUACGGUUCAUAUCAGCCAGCCAUCACUAUAGUUGUGCAGACUGAAAAAAAGUUUCCCUGGUUUAUAGUUCCCAGGGAGCUCCCUAGUGGACAGUCACUCUUCAGAAAGUCCCCAGAUCUGUGUGGGCAAAAACUGUGGGCUGUGAAGCCAGCCGACCACAUCCAUGGUUGCUGACAUAUUGAACUUGUAGCCGAGACAUGCACAGGAGCAAACUCACAUCACACCCUCUCUGCUAACUAAAACACACAUUAAACUUAUGACCAAUUGAAUGAUUAUUAUGUUAGUUUUUAUUCCUCUCUUCUGAUCCCUUAUUUGCAGAGCUGUCAAUCUGUCAUCUUUUUAAAGUAAACUUCUCAGAAAAAUUUAUACUUGGCCACAAAUUAGCAUAGCAACUAGCUACAUCGACAAGCACUCUUAUUCAAAUUUUAUUUUUUGAAUUUUAUUUAUUUAUUCAUUCUUUAGCUUGUAUAUCAUGUUUGUUAAGUGAACUAGUGUGUUUGGUAUUUAUCUUUAUCUUCGGGUGGCAGCUGUAGCCUUUAUCAUUUCAAUAUACCUGUAUAAGGACAAUAAUCUAGUCAGCAGGGGGAGCUCUGAAUAUUGUGGUCUCACAGUCAGUUAAGACUUGUUGCGCCUUUUUUAAAAUCCAAACUGUGAUAUAUACCAAGCAGCCGCCUCUGGUGUUGCAAGCCAGUGUUGAAACCAAAAACUUGAGGUUCCUUUAGUGUUCACUAAAGGAAGACUGCCUGCAUUAGCCAAGGAAUUCCCACAAGGUUUUAUUUUAACUGGCCGUUCUUAUUACAAAACCCUACAUGUCAACAACCUAGUUCAAACAUGGUUAAUUACAUGCAGCUUUUAAUUUGGACAUUUUGUACAAGGGUGUUAAAGCUAAGAGUUAUGCAUACAUUCAUGUGAUAAAGGGCCCUGACCAAGUUGGGAAUUUUCCCCUGUGGGACUAAUAAAGGAAUAUCUUGUCUUAUCUUAACAGUCAGGUGAAUGCACUGCAGCCAUCCACUAGGAGGCUAAGAGCCUGCCACACUUUCUGCUGUUUUACAGGUUGUUCAGAAGUUAGGCUGAGUCAGAGUUUACAAGAUGUUGCCUGCCAAUGUUGGGCUUCAAAAUACCUCUACUUAUUUGUUCACUUUCUUGUUUUCCAAAGAGUGAAAUAAAUGACAAUACUGUAUUUCAAAUAUACUUAACAAAUAAGCUUGAGCCCAAAUUGUUUGUAACGCCACUUAGUUCCAAAAACUACAUGGCAGGCUAAAUUAUUUUGUCCACCUUUUCAAUGAAAAAUGUCCUGCCAACAUUAAUAAUAAGCUUUUUAGUUAAAAAACAUUUAAUUGAAAAAAAGGGGAUAACAAACCAAAUAUUAAAACUGAAAUGUUUUAUUUCUUAACAGUUAACAUAUUCUUGUUUUUAAUGUUGAUGCCAACAACACGUUUUUUAGACAGAUGGCAUGUCUUGUGUUGCAUCUCCUCUUCUUUUGACAACAAUCUACAAAGAUUUGAGGACAUUAUGGUAUCAUCAGGGAUGCUGGCUUUUCAACUAGGCACUGAGCCAAGAGGAUAUGACAUCCAUAAUUUCCAAAGAGAAUGUCAAAUUUAGAUUUUUCACACAACAGGACAGUUUUUUCCGCUUCACAUCAGCCCCUCUCUUUAAUGGACUUGUGCACAGAGAAGUCACCUGUGUUUCUGGAUCCUGUUUAUGUAUGGUUUCUUCUUUGCAUGGUUUAGUUUAACCUGAGUGCAAACUCUAUUAACAGACAAUGAUUGUUGAACGUGGUUUUAAUGCAGUAAUUUCCACUACAGAGAAAUUGUCAGUUAUUGGCCUUUUCCUUUUUAUAGAUAUUUCUCCAGAUUCCUUAAGUCUCUCAAUGAUAAUUCUGUACUUUUGGUCACAGGAUCCUUAAUUUUUUUGCACUUUUAUUCCAACAAACUUCUUUCUAGAAUCGCUAAACUUCCGUAUUACUUACCGGGUCUCUCACAAAGUGCUAAACCUCUUCCCAUCUCUUCUCUUGAGAGAUUCUGCCUCUCCGAAGUGUCCUAUUUUCCCCCCUAGUCAUGUCACAGACCAUUACAAAUUAAUGUUUUUAGUUGGGAGAUGUUCCUCCGGGAUUCUUUUUAACUUAACACAACUUUUUCAGUGUUUUGUUGUCCCUUUUUUCGACUGAUUUGAAGUGUGCGGCUUGCAUCAAAUAUAAAAUAAGCAUACAUUUUUCAUAAAAGUUUUAAGCUUCAGCAUUUGAUUUGUUAUCUCUGCGCUGUUUUUAAUUAAACUGGGCUUGAAAAGACUUGCAAACCAUCAAAUUGUGUUUUCAACAUAAUUCUACACAGUGUCUCUUUUUGGAGUUUAGAUUGAACACCCAAUCAUAUAAGAGUCGGCUGAAGGUCACUUCCUAUAAGCUUGUGUGAGUGACUGUGACCCUUUAUCAGUUGUGUUCAAAAUACUUGUUUAUAAUGAAAUUAAAGUCCCAAUUUCAAUUGAACGCAUGGACACUCCAAUAUCAAGUUUCCUGUUUCCAACUAAAUUUGCCAGCCAUUAAUGUUAAAUUUAUGUAAACUGCCUGUGCUGCUAUCAGAGUUCAUCUCUUUGGACCAAGACACUCCUAUUAUACUCCUUUAUACUGUUUUUUUGUGCUGUUCUACUGUUUAUCAGAGCACAUGAAAGGCUUCUUGACUGAUUGAAUUUCCUGUUUGAAAUAGUUAAUUAUGACUUGGCUAUUCAGCUGUUAUCUGGAGUUCAUCUUUUCUGACCUAGAAACUAUUAUGUCCUUGAUAUUGGUAGCCGAUGGAAAAACAUGAGGAGGAUGAAAAAAAAAGGAGAAAAAAAGCAGAAGAAUCACUUGGAGUUGUUUACAGUUUUGUGAGAAAGAGCUAAAGUAAACAAUAAUGUAAGGUGACAGUAGCCCAUGUCUGGUGUGUUAUGUUUGCACUUUUUAAAACCAAGUCCUGUGCCACGAAGAUACCACACCGGAGGCUAAAAGGAUGCGUGGUCGUGAUGACAAGGGUCACGGUAGGUCUGCCUGUCACCUCAAGUGUUUAUUCUGCUGCUGUCCUUGAGCAAGGUAGCGCAACCUUUAUCGGCUCAGAAGGUGUCGCAUCAUUAAACUGACACUGUGCCAGGGCGAGAAAAGUAUCCUUGCACUUCUUAAAACAGGUGAACUUGUAAAGGGCUUUUGCUCCUGUUGUCUGCAUGUGGUUUUAUUUAACCAUAGUAUGAUAGGAAUAGGAGAAUAAGGCAUUGUACACUUCCCCUCAGAAACCAGAAAUUAACAAAAAGAUUAUAAAUGGUCGAAUUUUCUGAAGAAACAAAUACUUUCUCAUUCUCGUACGCUGAGACAUCAUCAUUCAAAGUGAGAUUUAUCAAUCAGUUUGUGACAUCAAAUGCUUUGGGCCCAAAAAUGUAGGGUAUGAAUUGAAUAGCAGCCUAACAGAGGAAGUGUAGGAGUGAAGUCAUGUCACAUGAGUCACUUGAACUAAAAAAGUGACAUUUCUACUGUCACUUUUGAAGAAAUACUCAUGAAAUUAUUAUCGUCAGUCUCUCCGGCGACAGAGGGGUUCGGUCAGAGUAACUACUACACGUCAGAAUGAACAAACAUUCGAACAAAGGCGUGUAGUGAGCUGCCUUCCUCUAGCUGUCGGUUCGGCUUUAUGAAAUGGUCAGGAUGGAGAAGGAAGGGAAUGUGCGCCUGUGCUGCAGUUGCUGCAUUUAAAUUCAGUACUGCCAAAGUACACGGACAAUCUGUACGAGUCCACUCACACAUCAUAGCACUCGAAUCAAAGGCUUCGCUGGCAAGGCAGAAUUACCUCCAUGUGUCAAAGAAUCAUGCUACCAGAAAGGAUUUAGGAAAAGGUACAAUCUAAAAUUGUUGUAGCUUCAAUUUUUUCCCUGUUGACUGCAUCACUCGACUCAAAACUUAAACGUACAUUUUUCUGGUUAGGAGAAACUGCUGCCUAAGAAAACCAUGUCCUUUUUCACUGUGUCGAGUCUCAAGUGUAGCAGUAUUGUUCAGGAAGGACAGCUUCAUCACUGGAGAAGGAAGUGAGAGAGGAAGAUGCAAAAAGGGCCCUUUCAGGUCACAUCUAUUUCAAAUCAGGAGGAGACACUGCUGCAGUGAAUCAUGCUGGUGGGCUCGGAAAAAAAAACAAAAAAAACAACAUGAGACAAAAAACAGGUUCAGGAUGUGGAUGUUGCACACAUACUUUACACUAUGCCCACAGAUAUGGUGUGUUGUAUAUCGAGGCCUGUUUGUUUUCAGUAUAUAUUACAGGACUCGGAGCCUGGCAGCUUGUUGUAGAAACACUUUAGGCUAGAAUACAGAGAAGGACGUGCCCUUGAUGUGCAGAAGAGCCAUGAGGAAAAGUGGCUGAUAAAAAGAGCGCGGAUAACGGUCAGGCGCAGAGGUUAAUGCGAAAUGAGCGAGUCAGGGCGGCAGAGAAGCUACACUGAACAUCGGUGAUUGAAGGAGGGAAAACAUGAUAGUCAGAGUGGAUCAUCUGAAUUUGGGAAGUAUUGUUAAUUUUUAUGUACAGUGGCAGGAAAUCUCAGAGAAUGAUAUUGUGCAUGACAAUGUAAUACAGAGCAUUCAAGAGCUGUGAAAGCCUCUUAUAAACAUCAAUUCACUGUAUUUUUAACACAACAUUUAUUUUUUUUUCGCCAAAGCUUUUCUUAUUUCUGGAUGUGAAAUAUCAUUUUCAUGUUUAGUGUAGAGAGAACUAAAAUGGGAGGAUGAAGAGGGAUUUUGUCACUUUUUUUUUCAGGUUGGCAGACAUAAGCCUGGAUAAGCCCUCAUAAAUAUUAGUCUGUCUCACACACUCUGUUUCCAGUUGUAGUAAAUAUACUGGCAAAGUUUAGCACAUCACAAAUCCAAAUCCCCCUCUGCGGGUGUGUUAAUGCUAUUCUAGCCCAGUAGCAUGUUGUUUCCCUUCAAAUCAAUCUCAGACAGAAAAUGCUGUAUCGCCCUAACACAUAUCACUGUCUGUGUGGAAACUGGAUUCUGAUUGGCUGCAGGGGUCAAUUAUUUCUUGCAAAUUGAACAUUAAUGAAGUCGUCUCUGUAAGCUGUCUGUUCACUGAUUUAAGAUAUUUGGCUGUUUACAUACCAGCCUGUCCUCAGAAUUACAAAGAAGAGCAGGAAGACUGUAAAACCCCAAUUUAUGCACCCUGUUAACAAGCUAACAACUAAGUGUUACUGUCUAGCUAUCCUUUCACAUCACAUUUACUGUCUACUACAUUUUUUUCAUUUGUACAGUAACACUAAACUUAAUUUUUUUAAGUUAUAUUUUUGCCUUUAAGAGAGUGAAAGUGAGGAAACUGAGUGAGUUGUCGGGUAUCUUGUGAGUUGUUUAAACAUAACACAUCCUCACAAAGUGGUUGACCCUUAAUAUGUUUGAUGUAAACAGACUGACAUAACAUAGCAAAGAAGCAAUUACUUUUGUAGUUGGGCACUCCUACAAGCACAAUACAAUCACACAAAUGAAGCAAGUUGUUGGUGCAAAUUGUGUUUGGUAUAAACGCACCAUAACACUGCUGGCGUCUAACGCAGUAUUUAUUGUCAUAACAAAUCAAAAAAUAAAAGCCAUAAAAAUAAUUUUAUUUCAUUCAUCUAAAUUAAGACACUGUUAUGAAGUGUUUUACAUUGCCAAUAUGGACUUAAAGGGGAACUUCAGUGUUUUUUCAUCUUGGCCCUACUUUCUCGUGUGUUUGCAUGUGCUUGACAGAUGGGGAGAACGAUUUCUGAAACUGGUCCAGUAUCGAGCGAGAGCAGAGCAGCCAGCAGCUGUGAAACGAG